RNAcentral lists this antisense RNA (156 nucleotides) under Photobacterium damselae subsp. damselae CIP 102761. Its description in RNAcentral is "sok antitoxin (CssrC)". It matches the Rfam family "sok antitoxin (CssrC)". Rfam says of the family: Also identified in Shigella as CssrC. The record is from Rfam by way of RNAcentral. Lineage: Bacteria; Pseudomonadati; Pseudomonadota; Gammaproteobacteria; Vibrionales; Vibrionaceae.
GGGUGCUUGAGGCUGUCUGUCUCAAGCAUUUUUGCAAAAGACAGAUAGUAGAAAGCCCCGAAUGAACGUUAAAUUCAAACGAGGCUCACUAGAUGUACAUAGACAAUACAGAUAGUAGUCUCUUUCUCGAAAGGAGGCAAGCUAUGCCAAAGAAAG